This is a non-coding RNA of Podarcis muralis (Common wall lizard), 799 nucleotides long. NCBI's taxonomy places the organism in Eukaryota, Metazoa, Chordata, Lepidosauria, Squamata, Lacertidae. The record is from RefSeq and is a predicted model, not a curated record.
CCUGCUUUAUAAAAUCAGGCCCAACUCUGGAUCCAGUUUAUACUGUUGAAGGAAGCGAUGGUUUUGUCUUUUCUGUCAGACCACUGCCCCCUUCAUGCAACAUUAUGAGAAACACCUUAUGGACUUUUUGAGCAAUAAGGAAAAUAAGCUUGUGAUAUCUGGGUUCAAAGACUGGAAGAACGGCUGGUUUAUGGACAUUAGAAGAGCUGGGUGUUAUUAUGAGGCUAAACAAACCCAGUUCCCUCAACCGUUGAUCGUGAUGCUUGGUUACCAGACCCCAAGAACUGGACACAGGACUCUAACCAAGGCAGGAUAGAGUGAGGCCAGGACAUCACUUGAUCUGGACACUAGACUUUAGUUGACAGGACACGUGAUUCCUCAUAUCUGUGCAGACCCCAUCAAAUUUACAUUCAUUGCUACACCCAUUUUUUUCGUCUGGCCCGCCGCCCACCAGCAACAUGUGCUUUGACCAGAACAACAUGCCUCGAUCCAACACCUGGAUGUCAAGAGUCAGCUGCUUGUGGGACCCCCUUUCCAUGUUACCUCAAGAGACCCCUGUCCUUUCACCCUGAUUGGACACAUGGUUCCUGUUCUGUAUUUGUAUGAAAUUGGUCAUUUAGUGUGGCAGCACCUACACUUUGGAAUUCCCUGCCUCUUGACAUUAGGAAGGUGCCUUCACUGUACUCUUUUUGGUACCUGCUUAAAAGCAAUUCUGAUUAGACAAUCCUGUCCAGACAUGUAGAAUGUUGGUGUAUAUCUUAAUCUGUUUUUAGUUUAUUGCUGAUUUUAUCUUUUGCAU